This 1319-nucleotide ribosomal RNA is filed under the name Nitrosospira sp. RNAcentral describes it as "bacterial SSU rRNA". It matches the Rfam family "Bacterial small subunit ribosomal RNA", at positions 68 to 1382 of the family's 1533-position model. Lineage: Bacteria; Pseudomonadati; Pseudomonadota; Betaproteobacteria; Nitrosomonadales; Nitrosomonadaceae. The record is from RNAcentral.
GGCAGCACGGGGGCAACCCUGGUGGCGAGUGGCGAACGGGUGAGUAAUGCAUCGGAACGUGUCUUCGAGUGGGGGAUAACGCACCGAAAGGUGUGCUAAUACCGCAUAAUCUCUACGGAGAAAAGCAGGGGAUCGCAAGACCUUGCGCUCUUGGAGCGGCCGAUGUCUGAUUAGCUAGUUGGUGAGGUAAAGGCUUACCAAGGCGACGAUCAGUAGCUGGUCUGAGAGGACGACCAGCCACACUGGGACUGAGACACGGCCCAGAAUUCCUACGGGAGGCAGCAGUGGGGAAUUUUGGACAAUGGGGGAAACCCUGAUCCAGCCAUGCCGCGUGAGUGAAGAAGGCCUUCGGGUUGUAAAGCUCUUUCAGCCGGAACGAAACGGUCACGGCUAAUACCUGUGACUACUGACGGUACCGGAAGAAGAAGCACCGGCUAACUACGUGCCAGCAGCCGCGGUAAUACGUAGGGUGCAAGCGUUAAUCGGAAUUACUGGGCGUAAAGCGUGCGCAGGCGGUUUUGUAAGUCAGAUGUGAAAUCCCCGGGCUUAACCUGGGAACUGCGUUUGAAACUACAAGGCUAGAGUGUGGCAGAGGGGGGUGGAAUUCCACGUGUAGCAGUGAAAUGCGUAGAGAUGUGGAGGAACACCGAUGGCGAAGGCAGCCCCCUGGGUUAACACUGACGCUCAGGCACGAAAGCGUGGGGAGCAAACAGGAUUAGAUACCCUGGUAGUCCACGCCCUAAACGAUGUCAACUAGUUGUCGGGUCUUAACGGACUUGGUAACGCAGCUAACGCGUGAAGUUGACCGCCUGGGGAGUACGGUCGCAAGAUUAAAACUCAAAGGAAUUGACGGGGACCGCACAAGCGGUGGAUUAUGUGGAUUAAUUCGAUGCAACGCGAAAAACCUUAACCUACCCUUGACAUGUGCCGAAGCCCGCUGAGAGGUGGGUGUGCCCGAAAGGGAGCGGCAACACAGGUGCUGCAUGGCUGUCGUCAGCUCGUGUCGUGAGAUGUUGGGUUAAGUCCCGCAACGAGCGCAACCCUUGUCAUUAAUUGCCAUCAUUCAGUUGGGCACUUUAAUGAAACUGCCGGUGACAAACCGGAGGAAGGUGGGGAUGACGUCAAGUCCUCAUGGCCCUUAUGGGUAGGGCUUCACACGUAAUACAAUGGCGCGUACAGAGGGUUGCCAACCCGCGAGGGGGAGCUAAUCUCAGAAAGCGCGUCGUAGUCCGGAUCGGAGUCUGCAACUCGACUCCGUGAAGUCGGAAUCGCUAGUAAUCGCGGAUCAGCAUGUCGCGGUGAAUACGUUCCCGGGUCUU